Molecule: ribosomal RNA, 544 nt
Filed under: uncultured Gammaproteobacteria bacterium
Lineage: Bacteria; Pseudomonadati; Pseudomonadota; Gammaproteobacteria
Description: bacterial SSU rRNA
Rfam family: Bacterial small subunit ribosomal RNA
Source: RNAcentral
GACGAGCGGCGAACGGGUGCGUAAUACAUGGGAAUCUGCCUUUUAGUGGGGAAUAACCCGGCGAAAGCCGGGCUAAUGCCGCAUAAGAUCUUCGGAUGAAAGCGGGGGAUCGUAAGACCUCGCGCUGAUAGAUGAGCCCAUGCCGGAUUAGCUAGUUGGUGAGGUAACGGCUCACCAAGGCGACGAUCCGUAGCUGGUCUGAGAGGACGGCCAGCCACACUGGGACUGAGACACGGCCCAGACUCCUACGGGAGGCAGCAGUGGGGAAUAUUGGACAAUGGGCGCAAGCCUGAUCCAGCGACGCCGCGUGUGUGAAGAAGGCCUGCGGGUUGUAAAGCACUUUCGAUGGGAACGAAAUGUGCCGGGUUAAUACCCCGGUAAGCUGACGUUACUCAAUGAAGAAGCACCGGCUAACUCUGUGCCAGCAGCCGCGGUAAUACAGAGGGUGCGAGCGUUAAUCGGAAUUACUGGGCGUAAAGCGCACGUAGGUGGCGACGUAAGUCGGGUGUGAAAGCCCCGGGCUCAACCUGGGAAUUGCAUUCGA